AUGAUUGGCGUUCCUUUUAGUCAAUCAGAGAUCAGAACUCCGACCACAUGACGCCACCCCAGCCAACCAGUGUGGAGGGAGGGCGUGAGUCGGCACCGAGCUGAGGGCAGUGUCGUGUCCGCGGUGGGCUCCGGCGUCGACUCGACCCUGUGAUUUGCUCCAAAAUGGCCUUGCCAUUGAGUGCUGCAGAGAUUCGCCAGAAAUUUAUUGAUUUCUUUAAACAACACAGCCAUGAGUAUGUGCACUCCUCAGCGACUAUUCCUCUUGAUGACCCCACUCUUCUCUUUACAAAUGCUGGCAUGAAUCAGUUUAAACCAAUCUUCUUGAACACCAUCGAUCCAUCCCACCCAAUGGCAAAAUUACUAAGAGCUACAAAUACUCAGAAAUGUAUACGGGCUGGAGGAAAACACAAUGACCUGGAUGAUGUGGGGAAGGAUGUUUACCAUCAUACUUUUUUUGAAAUGUUGGGUUCUUGGUCCUUUGGUGAUUACUUCAAGGAGCUGGCUUGCAAAAUGGCAUUGGAACUGUUGACGAAAGAGUUUGGAAUCUCCAUCGACAGGCUUUAUGUAACUUACUUCGGAGGGGAUGAAAGAGCUGGGCUGGAGCCAGAUCUUGAAUGCAAGCAGAUCUGGACAAACCUAGGAAUGGCAGAAGAAAGGAUUCUGCCAGGCAGCAUGAAGGAUAAUUUCUGGGAGAUGGGUGACACUGGCCCUUGCGGCCCGUGCAGCGAGAUACAUUAUGAUCGUAUUGGAGGACGUGAUGCUGCUCACCUGGUCAACAUGGAUGACCCUAAUGUUCUGGAGGUCUGGAAUCUUGUGUUCAUUCAAUUCAACAGAGAGAGUGAUGGCAGUCUGAAACCCCUGGCCAAGAAGAGCAUUGAUACUGGGAUGGGUUUUGAGCGGCUAGUGUCAGUCCUACAAGGCAAAAUGUCAAAUUAUGACACAGACUUAUUUCUGCCUUAUUUUGAAGCAAUUCAGAAAGGAACUGGUGUCAGGCCAUAUACAGGGAAGGUGGGAACUGAAGAUAUUGAUGGAAUUGACAUGGCAUACAGAGUGCUGGCAGAUCAUGCACGGACGAUAACAAUUGCACUGUCUGAUGGAGGCAGACCAGAUAAUACUGGUAGAGGGUAUGUUUUGAGGCGGAUUUUACGAAGAGCAGUGCGAUACUCCCAUGAAAAGUUGAAUGCAUCAAAGGGAUUCUUUGCAUCUCUGGUUGACGUGGUGGUAGAAUCUUUGGGAUAUGCAUUCCCAGAGCUAAAAAAAGAUCCAGAUACGUUGAAGGAUAUUAUUAAUGAAGAGGAGGAGCAGUUCUUGAAAACACUAAACAGGGGGAGGCGGAUCCUUGAGCGGAAGAUCCAGAGCUUGACUGACAAUAAAAUCAUACCAGGUGAUACAGCUUGGUUGCUUUAUGACACCUAUGGAUUUCCUGUGGAUUUGACGGGACUGAUCGCUGAAGAGAAGGGACUCCGUGUAGACCUAGAGGGCUUUGAGGAAGAGAAAAAAGCUGCUCAACUGAAAUCUCAAGGGAAGGGUACGGGUGAUGAUGAUCACAUCAUGCUAGACAUCUAUGCAAUUGAUGACUUGCGUGCUAAAGGGUUUGAAGUCACUGAUGAUUCACCGAAGUAUAACUACAAGUCAGAUGACAGUGGAAACUAUGCUUUUGAGUCGAUAGAGGCCACAGUAAAAGCAAUCCGUAUGGAGAAAAUGUUCGUGGAGGAGGUGAAAACGGGUCAGGAUUGUGGCGUGUUGCUUGAUGCUACCUGCUUCUAUGCUGAACAAGGUGGACAGAUUUAUGAUGAGGGCUACUUGAUAAAAGAAGAUGACAGCAAUGAAGAUAAAACUGAGUUCACAGUGAAAAAUGUACAGGUACGAGGCGGUUAUAUCCUACACAUCGGAACAAUUUAUGGACAUCUCAAAGUAGGAGAUAAAGUUCGUCUGUACAUAGAUGAGACCAGGAGACGAACUGUCAUGAGUAACCACACCAGCACCCACAUGCUGAACUUUGCCCUGCGGUCUGUGCUGGGUGAGGCUGACCAACGAGGUUCUCUGGUGGCACCAGACAGGCUCCGCUUUGACUUCACAGCCAAGGGAGCUAUGAGCACGCAGGAGAUAAAAAAAUGUGAAGAGUUAACAAACAAAAUGAUUCAAGAUGCCAAGCCAGUUUAUGCCAUGAAUGCUCCCCUUGUUGCUGCCAAAGCUAUUCAGGGACUUCGUGCUGUAUUUGAUGAGACGUAUCCUGACCCAGUACGAGUGGUGUCUGUGGGAAUUCCAGUGGAAGACUUGGUAGCUGACCCAUCGGGACCAGCAGGCUCUGUCACUUCAGUGGAAUUUUGUGGUGGAACGCAUCUGCAGAACUCUCAUCAUGCUGGUCCUUUUGUGAUUGUGUCAGAAGAGGCUAUCGCUAAGGGCAUCAGGAGAAUAGUCGCAGUCACAGGGUUUGAGGCACAAAAGGCUCUAAGAAAGGCAGAUGCUCUCCAGAAAUCUCUUGAUGCACUACAGUCUAAGGUCCAAGUUCAAACUACUCCCAGUAAAGAGAUCCAGAAAGAAAUUGCUGACCUUACAGAGAUGAUCGGUACUGCAGCCAUCCCCCAGUGGCAGAAGGAUGAGCUGAGAGACAAGCUGAAGUCACUGAAGAAAACUAUGGAUGACCUGGACAGAGCUGGAAAAGCAGAGCUGCUGAAGAAGGUUCGCGAGAAAACCAAGCAGUUCAUAGACGCUCAUCCAAACCAGCCUCUGGUGGUAAUGGAAAUGGAACCAGGAGCACCAGCCAAGGCACUGAACGAAUCUCUAAAGCUGUUUAAGACACACUCACCUCAGACGGCAGCCAUGUUGUUUGCUGUAGAUAAGGACGCAGGAACAGUCACGUGUUUGUGCCAGGUGCCCCAGGAAACUGUAAGCAAGGGUUUGAAAGCCAGUGAUUGGAUUGGUCACAUAUCAGUACUACUGGAUGGAAGAGGUGGAGGAAAGGACAUGUCUGCUCAAGCCACAGGGAAAAACAUCAAUGGCCUUGAAAAAGCACUGAAGCUGGCAACUGAGUUUGCUAAACUUAAAAUAGGAGACCUCAAAAACUAAGAAGAAAAUGGUUGAAUAACUUGAAAGACUGUAAUGAUGUGGGGAUAGGUCUGGCUCCACUGUCCAGUAGCUAACAUAAACAAAGCUGCCAACUGAUACAGGAAAAUGAAUGUCUCAGAUUCUUUAAACAGCUUUUCAGCAACUAAUCAUCUUUAUCAAACCUCUGUCAUUGAUCGCAUACACAGUAAGUACAAAGAAAGAAUACACAUGACAAGAUGGGACAAACAACCAAUGUGCAAAAGACAACAAACUGCAAAUGCAUAAAGAAAAUAGUAAGUAUGAACAACAUGAGAUGAAGAGUCCUUGAAGGUGAGUGAUGUUAUUUCUCUGGUUCAAGAGCCUGAUGGUUGAGGGGUAAUAUUAGUUCCUGAAGUGGGUAGCAUGGAUCCUGAGGCUCCUGUAUCACCUUUCUGAUGGCACCAGAGAGAAAUGAGCAUGGCCUGGGUGAUGGGAGUCCCUGAUGAUAGAUGCUACUUUGUGCAACAGCACUCCAUGUAGAUGUGCUCAGUGGGGGGUUGGGGGGGAGGACUUUACCUGUGAUGGGCUUAGUCAUUUCCAAGGGCAUUGGUGUUUCCAUACCAGGAUGUGAUGCAACUAGUUGAUAUACUCCCUGCCAACUUCUAAGUAGAGGUGCUGCUGCAGUUUCUUUGUAAUGGCACUUAGGUGCUGAAUCCAGGACCAAUCCUCUGAGAUGAUAACACCAAGGAAUUCCAAGAUGCUACCCAUGCCACCUCCAAUAAGGAUUGGCUUAUGGACCUCCAAAUUCCUCUUAAAAUUAAUAGUCUGCUCCUUGAUCAUGCUGACUGAGUGAGAGGUUGUUAGGCAACACGCAGCCAGAUUUUCAAUCUCCCUCCUAUAUGCUGAUUCAUCACCACACUUGAUUUGGCUAACUCAGUAGGUCAGGCAGCAUUUGGAGGGAAUUAAACAGAUGACAUUUCAAGUCAAGACCCUUCACAGUGACAGUCUUGACACAGUGUACACUGAUUAAUUACUUGGGUUCAUUUAGAACCAACCUGAAAAAUGAAUACAAUCUGAUGGAUGCGUGUGGGAGAGGACUAAAGGGUGUGAUUAUACUUAACUACUUCACAUAAUCCUCCAUAACUUCAGCCAUCUCCAAUGGAAUCCAGCCUCACCCCCCACUUGUAACUAUGAGUUAACAUACCUCAUACUACCUGUGAAUUACUAGAAUUAAAUAUUCUGGUUGAACCACUGAUCAAACUCACUAAAAUGACAGCUGGAAAUAGUUGAUGUGUAGGCAGAGUUGAAAGGCAUUUGAGAAAAGCACUACAUAAUUAUAAAAAUAAAGCCUGAGAGUUUAAAGGGAGAGUGGAUUUGGGCUUGUCACCUGUUUCACCUAAUCCCAUUUGCUUGUUCUGCCUAUUUCUAAUUAUCUCUUAAACACUGUGAUUCUAUCUGAAUUCCUCCAACAGUAUGUUCCAGAUAUCAGCCUAUGUUUAAAAAAAGCUUUACCCUCCGAUCUGCUUUUUAAAACUUUCCUCUCACCUUAAACCUAUGACCUCUUGGUUCUGAUACCCUUAACAUGAGAUUUGGUUAACUAACCCAUGUAUGCCCUUAAGUGCUUAUCUAAUUUCUAUGCCCCCUUUGCUCCAGGGAAAUGAAGCCCAGUCUUUCCAAUCUCCAUUACCAAUCCUCCGAUCCUGGUGAAUCUCCAUUACACUCUUCAGUACAGCCACAUUCUUCCCAUCAAGUGGCAACCAAAGCUGCACACAAUUCACAGUAAGUUGCAACAUAAUGCACCAAUUCAAAUACUCUGUGCCUCCACCUAUGAAGGCAAACAUAUCAUAUGUCACCUUCUGCUAUCAGGAAGGAAGUACAGGAGCCUCAGGACCCAUUUUAGGAACAAAUAUUACCUCUCAACCAUCAGGCCCUUGAACCAGAGGGAUAACUUCAAUCACCCCAACACUGAACUUAACUCACUUUCAAGGACCUUCAUACGUCAUAUGGUAGUGAGGGAGGAGAUGUAGGGGCAGGUGAGGGUCUCAUUGUCCUCACCUACCACCCCACUAACCUCUGCAUCCAGCACAUAAUUUUCCAUAACUUCCACCAACAGGAUCCCACUAAGCACAUCUUUCCUCCACCUCCCCCCCCCUCCACUUUCUGCUUUCCGCAGGGAUCACUCCCUACACGACUUCCUUGUCCACUCCCACUGAUCUCCCUCCUGACACUUGUCCUUGCAAGUGGAACAAGUGAUACACCUGCCCCUACAUCUCCUCUCUCACCACCAUUUGUCAUAUGAAGGUCUUUGAAACUGAGUUCAGUGAGCUUCCAAACAACUCAUCCAGGUGAGGUGACACUUCACCUACUCGUCUACCGUAUCUGGUGCUCCUGGUGUGGCCUCUCGUAUAUCAGUGAGACCCAACGUAGAUUAGGAGACUGCUUCACCUAUACUCUGUCCAUCAGAAAAAGCGGGAUCUCCCAGUGGCCACUCAUUUCAAUAGCACUUCCCACUCCGAUUCCAACGUGUCAUUCCAUGGCCUCUACUGUCACAAUGAGGCCACACUCAACUUGGAGGAACAAUACCUUGUAUUCUGUCUGGGUAGCCUCCAACCUGAUGGCAUGAACAUUGAUUUCUCUAAUUUCUGGUAAUUGCCCCGCCCCCAACCCUCGCCAUUCCCACUGUAUAUCUUGUCCCUGGAGAAGAAGGAUGCCUGGAGAAGAAGGAUGCUUCUGUGAGAAUGCAGUUCUUGGACUACAGUUCAGCAUUCAACACCACAGUUCCACCCAGGCUCGACAGGAAGCUCAGAGACCUCAGCCUUGACCCUGUCUUGUGCAGCAAUCACCUGUCAGGUCAUCGGCAGAUGGUAAGAGUGAGCUCCCUCACCUCCAAUCCUCUGACUGUCAACACAGGAGCCCCUCAGGGCUGCAUGCUGAGUCCCCUCCUUUACUCUCUGUAUACCUAUGACUGUAUCACCACCCACAGCUCCAAUCUGCUAAUUAAAUUUGCCAAUGACUCUACAUUGAUUGGCCUCAUCUCAAACAAUAACAAGGUGGCCUACAGAGAAGAAGUCAUCACACUGACACAGUGGUGUCAAGAAAACAACCUCUUCCUCAAUGUCGCAAAAACAAAGGAGCUGGUUGUGGAUUACCGGAGGAAUGGAGAUGGGCUAACCCCUACUGACAUCAAUGGAUCUGGGGUUGAGAUGGUAAACAGCUUCAAGUUCCUCGGCAUCCACAUCACCGAGGACCUAACGUGGUCUGUACAUACCAGCUGUGUGGUGAAAAAGACACAACAGCACCUCUUUCACCUCAGAUGGUGAGGAAGUUUGGUAUAGGCUCCCAAAUCCUAAGAACUUUCUACAGGGGCACAAUUGAGAGCAUCUUGACUGGCCACAUCACUGCCUGGUAUGGGAACUAAUCUACCUUAAUCUGUAGUUGUGAACUUUCCAUAAUUCAGGACAUUUACAAGGACAGGUGUGUGAAAAGGGCCUGAAGGAUCAUUGGGGACCCGAGUCACCCCAACCACAAACUGUUCCAACUGCUAUCAUCCAGGAAAUGGUACCGCAGUAUAAAAGCCAGGACCAACAGGCUCCAGGACAGCUUCUUGCACCAGGCCAUCAGACUGAUGAACUCACGCUGAUUUGAGUGUAUUUCUAUUGUACGCCUCAGGUUCUGCCACUGCAGAAGUCCAGGGAAGACGAUCUCUGGCCUCACCAAACGUGUGAAAUUGAGCCAAUAAAAGCCCAUAUCUCGCCUCA
RNA transcript from Hypanus sabinus (Atlantic stingray), 6787 nucleotides. It is a transcript of the gene named alanyl-tRNA synthetase 1, with no coding region annotated. Lineage: Eukaryota; Metazoa; Chordata; Chondrichthyes; Myliobatiformes; Dasyatidae. The transcript has 23 exons. The record is from RefSeq and is a predicted model, not a curated record.